Molecule: signal recognition particle RNA, 99 nt
Filed under: Planctomycetota bacterium
Lineage: Bacteria; Pseudomonadati; Planctomycetota
Description: Planctomycetes bacterium (sediment metagenome) signal recognition particle sRNA small type
Rfam family: Bacterial small signal recognition particle RNA
About the family: The signal recognition particle (SRP) is a universally conserved ribonucleoprotein involved in the co-translational targeting of proteins to membranes.
Source: RNAcentral
GAUGAGGGGCCCCCACAAUGGAGCCCUGCGAACCUGGUCAGGGACGAAAGUCAGCAGCCAUAAGCAGCAAGCUUCAGGUGUGGAGGGCCUCUCAUCGGG